CGGGACACGUGGUAUCCUGUCUGAAUAUGGGGGGACCAUCCUCCAAGGCUAAAUACUCCUGACUGACCGAUAGUGAACCAGUACCGUGAGGGAAAGGCGAAAAGAACCCCGGCGAGGGGAGUGAAAAAGAACCUGAAACCGUGUACGUACAAGCAGUGGGAGCACAGAGCAAUCUGUGUGACUGCGUACCUUUUGUAUAAUGGGUCAGCGACUUAUAUUCUGUAGCAAGGUUAACCGAAUAGGGGAGCCGAAGGGAAACCGAGUCUUAACUGGGCGUUAAGUUGCAGGGUAUAGACCCGAAACCCGGUGAUCUAGCCAUGGGCAGGUUGAAGGUUGGGUAACACUAACUGGAGGACCGAACCGACUAAUGUUGAAAAAUUAGCGGAUGACUUGUGGCUGGGGGUGAAAGGCCAAUCAAACCGGGAGAUAGCUGGUUCUCCCCGAAAGCUAUUUAGGUAGCGCCUCGUGAAUUCAUCUCCGGGGGUAGAGCACUGUUUCGGCAAGGGGGUCAUCCCGACUUACCAACCCGAUGCAAACUGCGAAUACCGGAGAAUGUUAUCACGGGAGACACACGGCGGGUGCUAACGUCCGUCGUGAAGAGGGAAACAACCCAGACCGCCAGCUAAGGUCCCAAAGUCAUGGUUAAGUGGGAAACGAUGUGGGAAGGCCCAGACAGCCAGGAUGUUGGCUUAGAAGCAGCCAUCAUUUAAAGAAAGCGUAAUAGCUCA
This 728-nucleotide ribosomal RNA is filed under the name Escherichia coli. RNAcentral's name for it is "partial 23S ribosomal RNA". It matches the Rfam family "Bacterial large subunit ribosomal RNA", at positions 418 to 1144 of the family's 2925-position model. The record is from RNAcentral. Lineage: Bacteria; Pseudomonadati; Pseudomonadota; Gammaproteobacteria; Enterobacterales; Enterobacteriaceae.